AUAUUUUUUAGAAGGUAGGGUGCGAUUUGUAUUUGUGGUCACUUCCGAACUAGUUUAAUGUCUAAAAUAUCAGACUGCUCUAAAGUUGAUUAGUUUGAUGUUCGAAACAUCGAAUUCACCUCAAUGGGUCAAUCCAAUUUUGUGGACGUUGGAACGGACUGAAGGAGUGUUCUUUUUCUCUGUUUUUUUCUCCUCCGCCUCCAAUAAAAGCCCUAAUUCAACGUCUCCCUCACAUCCCUAAGAACCCCUCUCUCUCUCGCUCCAAACUCAUGGUAUCUAGCACUCUCCACUGCGAUGUUCAAGUUGCGUUGGAAGUCUGAAUCAGGACCGAGCCAUGGGGAGUAAGAUUGGUGAAGGAAGACUGUCUCAUGGGCUAUAUUUAUUUAAUCAAGAGAUUAAGGCUUUAGUAGCCAGUCAAAAUAAUUCUGAUGUUAAUAAAGUGUAGCAUUGGAGAUUUGGACACCUUUCAGAUCAAGUUUAGAAACUUUUAAUGCCUUCUUUAUCUUUAAAGUCUCAUUCUUGUGAAGUCUGUAAAUUCUCAAAAUAGAUAAGACUUAUUUUUAGUCUUUCAUGUAUGUUUCAAAGGAACCACUUUAUUUGAUGCA
Molecule: long non-coding RNA, 605 nt
Organism: Amborella trichopoda
Lineage: Eukaryota; Viridiplantae; Streptophyta; Magnoliopsida; Amborellales; Amborellaceae
Source: RefSeq, a predicted model, not a curated record